Molecule: ribosomal RNA, 1677 nt
Filed under: metagenome
Description: bacterial LSU rRNA
Rfam family: Bacterial large subunit ribosomal RNA
Source: RNAcentral
AGUACCUGAAACCGUUGGUCUACAAACAGUCAAAGCAGACUUGUUCUGCGAUGGCGUGCCUUUUGAAGAAUGAGCCAACGAGUUACGGUGUGUGGCAAGGUUAACCCGAUGAGGGGAAGCCGGAGCGAAAGCGAGUCUGAACAGGGCGUUCAGUCGCAUGCCGUAGACCCGAAGCCGAGUGAGCUAUCCAUGGGCAGUGUGAAGCGGAGGUAAGACUCUGUGGAGGCGCGAACCGACUUCAGUUGAAAAUGGAGCGGAUGACCUGUGGAUAGGGGUGAAAGGCCAAUCAAACUCGGUGAUAGCUGGUUCUCCGCGAAAUGCAUUUAGGUGCAGCGUCGUGCGUUCAACGAUGGGGGUAGAGCACUGAAUGGGCUAGGGGUCCUACAAGACUACCGACCCCAAUCAAACUCCGAAUACCAUCGUUCCAGAGCACGGCAGUGAGACCUCGGGGGAUGAGCUUCGAGGUCGAGAGGGAAACAGCCCAGACCGCCGGCUAAGGUCCCAAAAUCUGAACUAAGUGGUAAACGAUAUGAGAUUGCGAAGACAGCCAGGAGGUUGGCUUGGAAGCAGCCAUCCUUGAAAGAGUGCGUAACAGCUCACUGGUCGAGUGAUCUUGCGCGGACAAUGUAACGGGGCUCAAGUUCAGUACCGAAGCCGCGGAUGCGACUCUUUGAGUCGUGUGGUAGCGGAGCGUCGAGCGUGCAGCGAAGCGGCGGGACAACCCAGCCGUGGAGCGCGUUCGAGUGCGAAUGUUGGCAUGAGUAGCGAAUGAGGGGUGAGAACCCCCUCCGCCGUAUGUCCAAGGGUUCCUGGGCGAGGCCAAUCCUCCCAGGGUGAGUCGGGAGCUAAGGCGAGGCCGAGAGGCGUAGUCGAUGCACAACUGGUUGAUAUUCCAGUACCACCAUGUUCGCGUCCGUCCCAAUACUCUGUUGCUAAGGGGCUGUGUUGACUUCGGUCAACGCGAACCGACCCACAUUGUUGCGGGAAGCUGUAGGGGGACGCAGGAAGGUAGAUGAACCCGGUGAAUGGUAGAACCGGGGUAAGCGUGUAGGAGGAGGACCAGGUAAAUCCGGGCCUCAUAACUCUGAGACGUGAUACCGAGCCGCUUCAGGCGAAGUCAUUGAUCCUAUGCUGCCUAGAAAAGCCCAGCAGCGAGUUGACAUGGUGCCCGUACCCCAAACCAACACAGGUGGACAGGUAGAGCAUACCAAGGCGAGUGGGAUAACUAUGGUUAAGGAACUCGGCAAAUUGCCUCCGUAACUUCGGGAGAAGGCGGACCCCAGUAGCGUGAUGAGACUUGCUCUCUGAGCGUGAAGGGGUGGCACAAAAUUGAGGGAAGCGACUGUUUACCAAAAACACAGCAGCGUGCUAAGCCGUAAGGCGCUGUAUACGCUGUGACUCCUGCCCGGUGCUGGAAGGUUACGGGGAUGGGUUAGUCCUUCGGGACGAAGCUCUGAACCUAAGCCCCAGUAAACGGCGGCCGUAACUAUAACGGUCCUAAGGUAGCGAAAUUCCUUGUCGGGUAAGUUCCGACCUGCACGAAUGGAGUAACGACUUCCCUACUGUCUCUACCAUAGACCCAGCGAAAUUGAAGUACGAGUAAAGAUGCUCGUUAGCUGCAGAAGGACGGAAAGACCCCGUGGACCUUUACUAUAACUUGAUGUUGUGUUUUGUCAC